Molecule: transfer RNA, 72 nt
Filed under: bacterium
Lineage: Bacteria
Description: tRNA-Cys
Rfam family: tRNA
About the family: Transfer RNA (tRNA) molecules are approximately 80 nucleotides in length. Their secondary structure includes four short double-helical elements and three loops (D, anti-codon, and T loops). Further hydrogen bonds mediate the characteristic L-shaped molecular structure. tRNAs have two regions of fundamental functional importance: the anti-codon, which is responsible for specific mRNA codon recognition, and the 3' end, to which the tRNAs corresponding amino acid is attached (by aminoacyl-tRNA synthetases). tRNAs cope with the degeneracy of the genetic code in two manners: having more than one tRNA (with a specific anti-codon) for a particular amino acid; and 'wobble' base-pairing, i.e. permitting non-standard base-pairing at the 3rd anti-codon position.
Source: RNAcentral
GGCCGUGUAGCCAAGUGGUAAGGCAUGGGUCUGCAAAACCCUUAUACGCGGGUUCGAUUCCCGCCGCGGCCU